This 492-nucleotide ribosomal RNA is filed under the name uncultured bacterium. RNAcentral's name for it is "partial 16S ribosomal RNA". It matches the Rfam family "Bacterial small subunit ribosomal RNA", at positions 29 to 507 of the family's 1533-position model. The record is from RNAcentral.
AGUGAACGCUGGCGGUAGGCCUAACACAUGCAAGUCGAACGGCAGCACAGUAAGAGCUUGCUCUUACGGGUGGCGAGUGGCGGACGGGUGAGGAAUACAUCGGAAUCUACUUUUUCGUGGGGGAUAACGUAGGGAAACUUACGCUAAUACCGCAUACGACCUACGGGUGAAAGCAGGGGAUCUUCGGACCUUGCGCGAUUGAAUGAGCCGAUGUCGGAUUAGCUAGUUGGCGGGGUAAAGGCCCACCAAGGCGACGAUCCGUAGCUGGUCUGAGAGGAUGAUCAGCCACACUGGAACUGAGACACGGUCCAGACUCCUACGGGAGGCAGCAGUGGGGAAUAUUGGACAAUGGGCGCAAGCCUGAUCCAGCCAUACCGCGUGGGUGAAGAAGGCCUUCGGGUUGCAAAGCCCUUUUGUUGGGAAAGAAAAGCAGCAGGUUAAUACCCCGCUGUUCUGACGGUACCCAAAGAAUAGGCACCGGCUAACUUCGUG